GAGAGUGCAGUCUUGUGUGUUCUUGGGGUUUCUGAGGAAAUAUGAACGAACAAAAGAAAAGGUAAGAGAGAGAAGACGAAAGUGAAAAAGUCCAAAUGCUUUUUGGGUGUUGAUUUGCUGCAAUAAAAGCUUAAAGCUUUAAAGCUUAAACCCCACUCCUCCAUAUUGUUUUUACUUUAUACUUUCAUCAGAUCUUUUUCAUAUUUCUAUACUGAAUGUAAGUUGAUGCUUGCUCCUACUUUCUUCCUUGCUCUUCAUUUGUGUAGUGUUUAACCUUUCGACUUCCAGAUUUCAAUCAACCAUUUAAAAAAUGCAUGGAAAAGAUGGGUUCUUCUUCUCAUCUGGCUAUGAAUUUUUCUUUUCUUGGGACGGACAUAAUGGGAGAGAAGUUGCUUUUUCUAAUUUUUUUUUUUCAAAAUUUGUGGUUGUAUUCUUGGGUUGUUAUAAUUGUUAAUUGAAUUGCUUUACAUGCCUACUGUCCACGAGGAAUAAAUUCUCUUUCUCUCUUUGCAUUGCGGCCUAAACACUUUGUUUACUGUUUAGCUCAUUUUUUCUGAAUUAAUGUGCUUUAAUCUGUCUGGAUUCUAUGCUCAUAAAAGAUUGCUUCUUUUUUAUAUAUUUUUUUGUACUUCCUUUUUCCAAUCUCUGCUUUUCCGAGGUGCCUUUCAUUUUCUGAUGGUUUCUUUGGAACGUUUAAGGCAGUAUAUAGCUGGUGCAAGCAAGAGGUUUUGAUGUAGACUGAUGGGUCAUAUUCCAUUUUCACCCUUCUAUUUGGUUAUAAAUAGGGAUGCUCAAUUUUGAUUUCUUCAUCGCAGGAACUCGGCUUAAACCGUUCAUUAAUAAUCAAGUAGUCUGCGAAGUCUGAAUAAUUUGGUUGUGUAUAAUGAGCAACACAACCACUAGUGGUUCUGGUAGUAGAAGUACUAUGAAGACAUUUGAGUUUGGAAGGACCCAUGUGGUCAGGCCUAAAGGACAACACCAGGCUACCAUAGUUUGGCUGCACGGUCUUGGUGACAAGGGCUCAAGCUGGUCCCAGCUCCUGGAA
Molecule: unclassified non-coding RNA, 1045 nt
Filed under: Hevea brasiliensis (rubber tree)
Lineage: Eukaryota; Viridiplantae; Streptophyta; Magnoliopsida; Malpighiales; Euphorbiaceae
Source: RNAcentral